RNAcentral lists this ribosomal RNA (484 nucleotides) under uncultured bacterium. Its description in RNAcentral is "partial 16S ribosomal RNA". It matches the Rfam family "Bacterial small subunit ribosomal RNA", at positions 29 to 507 of the family's 1533-position model. The record is from RNAcentral.
AUUGAACGCUGGCGGCAUGCUUUACACAUGCAAGUCGAACGGCAGCGCGGGCUUCGGCCUGGCGGCGAGUGGCGAACGGGUGAGUAAUGCAUCGGAACGUGCCCAAUAGUGGGGGAUAGCCCGGCGAAAGCCGGAUUAAUACCGCAUACGACCUGAGGGUGAAAGCGGGGGACCGAAAGGCCUCGCGCUAUUGGAGCGGCCGAUGUCGGAUUAGCUAGUUGGUGGGGUAAAGGCUUACCAAGGCGACGAUCCGUAGCUGGUCUGAGAGGACGACCAGCCACACUGGGACUGAGACACGGCCCAGACUCCUACGGGAGGCAGCAGUGGGGAAUUUUGGACAAUGGGGGCAACCCUGAUCCAGCCAUGCCGCGUGCGGGAAGAAGGCCUUCGGGUUGUAAACCGCUUUUGUUCGGGAAGAAAUCCUCUGGGCUAAUACCCCGGGGGGAUGACGGUACCGGAAGAAUAAGCACCGGCUAACUACGUG